UGGGUUUAGAACGUCGUGAGACAGUUCGGUCCCUAUCUGCCGUGGGCGCUGGAGAAUUGAGGGGGGCUGCUCCUAGUACGAGAGGACCGGAGUGGACGCAUCACUGGUGUUCGGGUUGUCAUGCCAAUGGCACUGCCCGGUAGCUAAAUGCGGAAGAGAUAAGUGCUGAAAGCAUCUAAGCACGAAACUUGCCCCGAGAUGAGUUCUCCCUGAGACUUUAAGUCUCCUGAAGGAACGUUGAAGACGACGACGUUGAUAGGCCGGGUGUGUAAGCGCAGCGAUGCGUUGAGCUAACCGGUACUAAUGAACCGUGAGGCUUAACCUU
This 325-nucleotide ribosomal RNA is filed under the name Pseudomonas aeruginosa. RNAcentral's name for it is "partial 23S ribosomal RNA". It matches the Rfam family "Bacterial large subunit ribosomal RNA", at positions 2606 to 2925 of the family's 2925-position model. The record is from RNAcentral. Lineage: Bacteria; Pseudomonadati; Pseudomonadota; Gammaproteobacteria; Pseudomonadales; Pseudomonadaceae.